RNAcentral lists this long non-coding RNA (288 nucleotides) under Capsicum annuum. Its description in RNAcentral is "long non-coding RNA (CANN_LNC006045)". Lineage: Eukaryota; Viridiplantae; Streptophyta; Magnoliopsida; Solanales; Solanaceae. The record is from RNAcentral.
CUGUUUGUAUCCCCAAAACUUCGUACAACGACGUCGGAGUUCCAAUUGUAGAGGUAGUACUAGUACUACUAGUAGUAGCUCUGUCUGCGGUGGUGUACGCGGCGGAGACUGAGAAUGGACGGCUGUGGAAGGUGACGGAGCACGGCGGUGGAGAGGCGGAGGAGAGUUUGGAGCUGGUGAUUGAAGUGGAGAGAAGAAAAGAAGAAGAAGAAGAAGAAGCCAUGGACUUGAAGUGUUUGUUCUAGAAUAAUUUGGGUAGUUAAUUGGAGAAAAAGGAUAGCGUGUGAA